UCCUUCCUUGGUAGGACUAGUCCUUCCAAGGAAGGAUCCUUCAGAGGCUAGGCCAGACUCCUCCUGAGCAUUCGGAGAGCAUGUACAUUGGAACAGGCUAGCAAGUGCACGUCAUUGCGUGCUUGCGUCAUCGAAAAUGUUUCGCCGCCUUCACUUCCGCGCUGCAUUUCAAAACACUGGACAAAAUGUCAAUGCGAAAUGGAUGUGGAACUGUGAAGUUCAAUUUUUUUGUUGAGAAGGUGAAUCAGCGUCAGUCUGCUUGCAGGAGGAGAAUAUUCUGUCGGCAACUUUGACGCAACGUGCUAAGUCUGGAAACACCAUCAUCAGCAGCUGAGUCUGGUCAUCGCUUCAUGUUGAAUAUUGUGUACAGUAUAUAGUAAUGUUUGAAUAAAUGUUAUAAUAAAAGAUA
Perca fluviatilis (European perch) is the source of this 409-nucleotide long non-coding RNA. RefSeq lists it as uncharacterized. The record is from RefSeq and is a predicted model, not a curated record. Lineage: Eukaryota; Metazoa; Chordata; Actinopteri; Perciformes; Percidae. The transcript is spliced from 2 exons.